CAGUCGCCGCGGGAAUACGAAGGGUGCAAGCGUUAAUCGGAAUUACUGGGCGUAAAGGGCGCGUAGGUGGUUAUUUAAGUGAGAUGUGAAAGCCCCGGGCUUAACCUGGGAACUGCAUCUUAUACUGGGUAACUGGAGUGCAGUAGAGGGUAGUGGAAUUUCCGGUGUAGCGGUGAAAUGCGUAGAUAUCGGAAGGAACACCAGUGGCGAAGGCGGCUACCUGGACUGAGACUGACACUGAGGCGCGAGAGCGUGGGGAGCAAACAGGAUUAGAUACCCGCGUAGUCCCUGUCUCUUAUAC
Molecule: ribosomal RNA, 301 nt
Filed under: uncultured bacterium
Lineage: Bacteria
Description: partial 16S ribosomal RNA
Rfam family: Bacterial small subunit ribosomal RNA
Source: RNAcentral